Molecule: ribosomal RNA, 504 nt
Filed under: uncultured bacterium
Lineage: Bacteria
Description: partial 16S ribosomal RNA
Rfam family: Bacterial small subunit ribosomal RNA
Source: RNAcentral
GACGAACGCUGGCGGCGUGCUUAACACAUGCAAGUCGAACGGUGAAGCGCUUGCCUUUUUGGUGGGUGUGGAUGAGUGGCGAACGGGUGAGUAACACGUGAGUAACCUGCCCUCUUCUUCUGGAUAACCUCAUGAAAGUGGGGCUAAUACGGGGUAUUCCGGGUCUGUCGCAUGGCGGGUUUGGGAAAGAUUGCGCCUUUGGGUGUUUUCGGUGGGGGAUGGGCUCGCGGCCUAUCAGCUUGUUGGUGGGGUGAUGGCCUACCAAGGCGGUGACGGGUAGCCGGCCUGGGAGGGUGGACGGCCACACUGGGACUGAGACACGGCCCAGACUCCUGCGGGAGGCAGCAGUGGGGAAUAUUGCACAAUGGGCGCAAGCCUGAUGCAGCGACGCCGCGUGAGGGAUGGAGGCCUUCGGGUUGUGAACCUCUUUCGCCAGUGAAGCAGGCCUGCUCCUGUGUGGGUGGGUUGACGGUAGCUGGAUAAGAAGCGCCGGCUAACUACGUG